RNAcentral lists this ribosomal RNA (779 nucleotides) under uncultured Neocallimastigales. RNAcentral describes it as "partial large subunit ribosomal RNA". It matches the Rfam family "Eukaryotic large subunit ribosomal RNA", at positions 23 to 640 of the family's 3401-position model. The record is from RNAcentral. Lineage: Eukaryota; Fungi; Neocallimastigomycota; Neocallimastigomycetes; Neocallimastigales.
UGAGACUCUGUGCGCGUGCAUAUCAAUAAGCGGAGGAAAAGAAACUAACAAGGAUUCCCUUAGUAACGGCGAGUGAAGCGGGAAGAGCUCAAAUUUGAAAUCUUCAAGGUUCUACCUUGACGAAUUGUAGUUUAUAGAAGUGUUUUCUGUUAGUAGGAGUGGCAAAAGUUCUUUGGAAUAGGACAUCAUAGAGGGUGAGAAUCCCGUAUUUGGUCAUUCCUUCCUAGCGUUGUGAUACACUUUCAACGAGUCGGAUUGUUUGGGAAUGCAGUCCAAAAUGGGUGGUAAAUUUCAUCUAAAGCUAAAUAUUGGCGAGAGACCGAUAGCGAACAAGUACCGUGAGGGAAAGAUGAAAAGAACUUUGAAAAGAGAGUUAAACAGUACGUGAAAUUGUCAAAAGGGAAGCGUUUGACACCAGUGUUGUUUUUCCGAAAAUCAAUUACGAAUGUUUUGUUUUUGAGGAGUUAUGACUUCAUCGGCUUGCUUCCUCUCUUUAUGAAACUUUCUUAAUGCACUUUUCGGUUAACAAGUCAACAUCAAUUUCUUUUGUUGUAAAAGGGUAUGAGGAAGGUGGCUUUCUUUUCGGAGAAAGUGUUUAUAGCCUUGUACCUUCUGCAAUCGGAGAGAUUGAGGUCUGCAGCGUAGAUCCUUCGGGGUUAGAUACGUUUGUGCUAAGUUAUAGCUUUUCAUAGACAACUUGUUGACUAUGUUUAGUCUUGUAGCUUACUCGCUGAUGCUAUUUUACCUACGCUUAGGAUGUUGACAGCAGUAUAGACUGU